This 793-nucleotide ribosomal RNA is filed under the name uncultured Pseudomonadota bacterium. Its description in RNAcentral is "bacterial SSU rRNA". It matches the Rfam family "Bacterial small subunit ribosomal RNA", at positions 60 to 845 of the family's 1533-position model. The record is from RNAcentral. Lineage: Bacteria; Pseudomonadati; Pseudomonadota.
GGGUGCAUGGAGCUGAUCACUUCGGUGUGAAGCACCAUGUCAUCUAGUGGCGAACGGGUGAGUAACACGUAGGUAACUUGCCCUUAGGAUUGGGAUACUCCCGGGAAACCGGGCUCAAUACCGAAUAUGAUUCCAGGGUGAAAUGCCCAGGGAUAAAAGCUGCUGGCAACAGUGGCGCCUAAGGAGGGACCUGCGGCCUAUCAGCUUGUUGGUGAGGUAACGGCUCACCAAGGCGAAGACGGGUAGCCGGACUGAGAGGUUGAUCGGCCACACUGGAACUGAGACACGGUCCAGACUCCUACGGGAGGCAGCAGUGGGGAAUUUUGCGCAAUGGGCGAAAGCCUGACGCAGCGACGCCGCGUGGGGGAAGAAGGCCUUAGGGUUGUAAACUCCUUUAGUACGGGAAGAAGCCGCAAGGUGACGGUACCGUAAGAAUAAGCCACGGCUAACUCUGUGCCAGCAGCCGCGGUAAUACAGAGGUGGCAAGCGUUGUUCGGAUUUACUGGGCUUAAAGGGCGUGUAGGCGUCCUGAUAAGUCAGAUGUGGAAGCCCUGGGCUCAACCCAGGAAGUGCAUUUGAAACUGUCAGGAUUGAGUCAUGCAAGGGAGGACGGAAUUCCUGGUGUAGCGGUGAAAUGCGCAGAUAUCAGGAGGAAGGCCGGUGGCGAAGGUGGUCCUCUAGGCAAUGACUGACGCUGAGGCGCGAAAGCGUGGGUAGCAAACAGGAUUAGAUACCCUGGUAGUCCACGCCCUAAACGGUGCGUACUAGGUGUGGGUGGCGAUAGUCAUCCGUG